RNAcentral lists this ribosomal RNA (70 nucleotides) under Keratinibaculum paraultunense. RNAcentral describes it as "partial 23S ribosomal RNA". Lineage: Bacteria; Bacillati; Bacillota; Tissierellia; Tissierellales; Tepidimicrobiaceae. The record is from RNAcentral.
UGGUCAAGCUAAUAAGGGCAUAGGGUGGAUGCCUAGGCACCAGUAGCCGACGAAGGACGGGAUAAGCACC